Vigna radiata var. radiata (mung bean) is the source of this 336-nucleotide long non-coding RNA. RefSeq lists it as uncharacterized. NCBI's taxonomy places the organism in Eukaryota, Viridiplantae, Streptophyta, Magnoliopsida, Fabales, Fabaceae. The record is from RefSeq and is a predicted model, not a curated record. The transcript has 2 exons.
CAAUCGCUAAGAAAGAAUUGAACAAGUGAUAGAAAAAAAAUGAGUAAAGUAGCGACGCUCUUCGCUUUGGCUGUUCUAUUGAGCUUCACUUUAAUGGAUGCCUCACGCCCUAACUAUUCCUUUGAGAAUCUGGAUUUGUUGCCAAGGGUUGAGAUAGAAGGUGAGAAAUGUGAAGAAGGGCUAGAAGAAUGUUUCUGGAAAAGAACUCUAGCUGCACAUCUUGAUUAUAUCUACACUCAAAACGCUAAAGAGGGUCAACACGAUUAAUCUAAUCGUAAUUUCCCUCUGCUUCUUUUUCAUAUAUUAAUAAAGUGAUUUUCUUGAAUCUUGGUUCAA